GCUAAACUCUUCAGGACACCGGCCCUCCAGCAACGAGUUUGGGCACCCCUGGCAUAGACAUUACCCUACCCCUUUUACAUGGUAUUAAUUUUAUUUGUGCAGGUCUUAAGUAUUAAAUUAAGGUUAAACAGUACCUUGUAGUAGGGAACUACAUUUUCUUUUGUCUUCAGUGGUGGAUGUGAAUGAUUCAAGCAGUACAUCUUCUGGCGAGUGCUAUCAAAACACUGAGAUUGACACGGACAACCAUUUCAUGUCACGUGAGGAAAAACCAUCAUUGCAUGAAAAGUCACCAUUUGCACCCCUGUCUUACGUUGACCAUCACUUAUCAAACUCUGACAGUCGAGCGGUGGAUGUGAAUGAUUCAGACAGUACAUCUUCUGGUGAGUGCUAUCAAAACACAAAGAUCGACAUGGACAACAGUCUCCAGUAUGAAGACGAGGAAAGCCCAUCACUUCCUGAGAAGUCACUACAGACACCCCACAGCACUCAGAUGACAGGAAACACUGCUGGUUACAGUGGCUCUCAUGUACCUGUCACCCACAGUCAAGAUGGGAAUGAUUCAGACAGUACUUCAUCAGAAGAGUGUUAUCAGAACACAGAGAUUGCUGAAAACGCCUUUCACCAUUAUGGUGAGGAAAGCCCAUCACUUCCUGAGAUGUCUUUUCAGAAUCCCCACAUUGCACAGAUGACAGAAAGUACUGAUGGUUACAGGGACCAUCGUGUACCUAGAAACCUCAGUCAAGAAACAGAUAACAGCAGCACAGCAUCAGAGGCAUCGUAUGUUAAUGUACCACCUAAAAAAGAGAGGGAGGACCAUUCUGCUGCAUCUUCAGAAAGCGACUAUGAUGAAGCUGGAACCUGGUGAAAUCAACAUGACAACUGCAAGAGAUUUUUCCGAGCAGGUAAAACCUUCAAAAACACAAAU
RNAcentral lists this long non-coding RNA (925 nucleotides) under Sinocyclocheilus grahami. RNAcentral's name for it is "lncRNA (ENSSGRG00000021415.1)". Lineage: Eukaryota; Metazoa; Chordata; Actinopteri; Cypriniformes; Cyprinidae. The record is from RNAcentral.